Non-coding RNA from Hemiscyllium ocellatum (epaulette shark), 82 nucleotides. The record is from the annotation of a RefSeq genome assembly. NCBI's taxonomy places the organism in Eukaryota, Metazoa, Chordata, Chondrichthyes, Orectolobiformes, Hemiscylliidae.
GCUGUAAUGGCCGAGUGGUUAAGGUGUUGGACUCGAAAUUCAAUGGGGUUUCCCCGCGCAGGUUCAGACCCUGCUUGCAGUG